AAAGGAAUAGACGGGGACCCGCACAAGCGGUGGAGCAUGUUGUUUAAUUCGAAGCAACGCGAAGAACCUUACCUACACUUGACAUGCCUCUUGGGUCUUUCAGAGAUGAUUGACUUCGGUUCGGCCGGGGAGUGCACAGGUGCUGCAUGGCUGUCGUCAGCUCGUGUCGUGAGAUGUUGGGUUAAGUCCCGCAACGAGCGCAACCCUUAUCGUAUGUUGCCAGCAUUUAGUUGGGCACUCAUGCGAGACUGCCGGUGACAAGCCGGAGGAAGGCGGGGACGACGUCAAGUCAUCAUGGCCCUUACGUGUAGGGCUACAAACGUGCUACAAUGGCGGUGACAAUGGGUCAAUCCCAAAAAGCCGUCUCAGUUCAGAUUGUUCUCUGCAACUCGAGAACAUGAAGUUGGAAUCGCUAGUAAUCGUGAAUCAGCAUGUCACGGUGAAUACGUUCCCGGGUCUUGUACACACCGCCCGU
RNAcentral lists this ribosomal RNA (475 nucleotides) under uncultured bacterium. RNAcentral's name for it is "bacterial SSU rRNA". It matches the Rfam family "Bacterial small subunit ribosomal RNA", at positions 903 to 1397 of the family's 1533-position model. The record is from RNAcentral.